GUUCUGGUGGCAUGGUGGGGGCAGGCUGCCGUCCGUCUGCGUCUAUCAGUGUCGGGAGCCAGUGGUGUGGGCAGGGGGCGGGGGAUGCUCGCUCACCACUGGAAUCAAGUCAGAGUGAGAAGGAAAAGAUGGCCUCCGCCAGCCUCAGUGCCAGCAAUGCUGAGGGAGCCCAUACUAACGGCUUCUGUCAGUGUUGUUUCUGGAGAGUGAUCCAGGAGAUUUCUGACCCUCUGGCAGAUGCUUUGUUAGUAAGUGACUCUCCUUCACAUAAAGUCUAGGCUCUUUUCAAACUGCUCCUUUUUAUACUGGGUCCCAGGGCAAAUGAGUCUCUAUAUGAGCCCUUUAAAUGCAAAAUCUUCGUUCUUGAUAACCUUAUAUUUCUUCUGAACAGCAGAUCUGUUGGUUUUUUUCAAAGCCAGACACUUUGAGGGCUCUUCUCUCAGGCACAGGUCCCAGGGAUUCAGGUGGGUGGUGUGUGAGAAGCUCCAUUUUAUGCAUGUACGUACUUGUUUAUUUUUGACAUCCCUUAAGAUUGUGAGUUGCUACUCUGGGGUUGGGGGAGGCAGGGUUGAUAAGUAUGUGUCUCUGCCUCUCCUACACAUCUCCAUGUGGCUCUUUUAUCCUUAAUUUUAUAGCAAGUGCUAGAUGCUCAGGUUUUUUUUCAGAGGGAUUUGUUUCAUGCAUAACUAUAUUUGUUUUAUCUGUAAAAGGAGGUGAAUUCAGAAUCUUUCCAUACAGCCAUCUUGAAGUGCCUCAUAAUCUUAGUUUUGAAGAUUGGAAAAUGAAAAGAUCACUUACUGAGGAAAUUGGAGACUGCAGCCCACCUUGCUUUUUCUUCAAGUCAUCUGUAGAAUAUUUCAUCUUCCCUGAAGAUAAAAUUACUUCCAACCACUACUGAAAUCACAACUUAUUAUUAGGCCAGUCCCUAGAUGUAUGGAUGCAAUCAGUGGAUCAAGAACAAAGCUUGGAAAUAGAUAACAAGUCCUUCCCCAGUUGAGGUAAGUAAUUCUUGGGCAAGUUUUGGGGAAAAGAAAAAAUGAGUGACAAGGAUAUACUUUAUGCUUUUUUUUUUUUUGACUUCUGUGAUGAAG
Molecule: long non-coding RNA, 1091 nt
Filed under: Bos indicus x Bos taurus (hybrid cattle)
Lineage: Eukaryota; Metazoa; Chordata; Mammalia; Artiodactyla; Bovidae
Description: lncRNA (ENSBIXG00000026657.1)
Source: RNAcentral